UACAGAGGGGGCGAGCGUUGUUCGGAUUUACUGGGCGUAAAGCGACCACAGGCGGCUUGAUAAGUCAGGUGUGAAAUCCCCGGGCUCAACCCGGGAACUGCACUUGAAACUAUCGAGCUUGAGUCAUGGAGAGGAUAGCGGAAUUACCAGUGUAGAGGUGAAAUUCGUAGAUAUUGGUAAGAACACCAGUGGCGAAGGCGGCUAUCUGGCCAUGUACUGACGCUCAAGGUCGAAAGCGUGGGGAGCAAACAGG
RNAcentral lists this ribosomal RNA (253 nucleotides) under uncultured bacterium. Its description in RNAcentral is "partial 16S ribosomal RNA". It matches the Rfam family "Bacterial small subunit ribosomal RNA", at positions 524 to 776 of the family's 1533-position model. The record is from RNAcentral.